Molecule: ribosomal RNA, 537 nt
Filed under: Triticum aestivum (bread wheat)
Lineage: Eukaryota; Viridiplantae; Streptophyta; Magnoliopsida; Poales; Poaceae
Description: partial small subunit ribosomal RNA
Source: RNAcentral
AUGAAGGCAAAUGUGCAAGGAGCAGCAAAGUUACAACAGAUUUUAGCUUUGUAUAUGAGGAGCAAACUGGCCAAAAAAAUCAACAAGGACAAAUCCACUGCCAUCUUUAGUAAGGGGACAAGUGCGGCAACAAAAGCGGGUGUUCUUGUUAGUUUGGGUAUUGCAACAGAAUCACAUAACCAGAGGUACUUGGGCCUCCCGGUACAUAUCGGUGCAUCCAGAAGCAAAGAGUUUGAAUGUCUGAAGCAGAGAAUAUGGCAGAGGAUUCAAGGAUGGAAGGAAAAGUUACUACCGAAAGCAGGGAAAGAGGUGCUCAUAAAGGCGGUUGCAUACGCGAUCCCAACCUAUGCCAUGUCGUGCUUUGAUCUCACUAAGCAAGUUUGCGAAGAAAUCAGUGCACUAAUUGCGCGGUUUUGGUGGAGUCAGCAAGAUAAAAUGAACAAAUGCCAUUGGGUCAGUUGGGAGAAGAUGACUAGAUCAAAGAAGGAUGGUGGACUUGGCUUCGUGACUUGCAUAUUUUCAACAUGGCAAUGCUAG